UAACAACUGAAAGGAGGUGAUCCAGUGUCUCAUUGUCAUCAACCGCUGGCUCGAAGCGGUCGGACCUGGACUCAUUCCCAGUGGGGGUCUUGUUCCGCGUGAGUUUUCGCGCCUUUGGGUCCGGUUCGCCGGACCGCGGUACGACAAUGGAAGGGCUGCCCGAAAGGGCGGCCCU
The sequence is a small RNA, 175 nucleotides long. It matches the Rfam family "caulobacter sRNA CC2171". The record is from Rfam.